AUAUAUAUUUCGUGCCUGAACUACGUCGUUUUUUGGGCCCACUAUUACAGAUUAUUCCACUUUCCCUUUUCAUUCAAUUUCAUUUUGGCUGCUUCAUCUGCUGCCCUCUCUGCUCUAUCUCUAUCUCGAUCUCUCAGCUGCAAGACACUGCUCUUUCUCGAUCCAUUUAGCAAGACCUUGAUUGAUGUUUGCCCCCAUCAUCAUCUGAUAAAGCCCUUUGACACACACACAAUCAGACUAUCAAACAUAAACCCUAGCGCACACAAUCAGACGAUUCUUGACCAAGGAGAAAGACCGUGUCUCGCCGCCGAUUCUCCUCUUCCGGUUUUCUUCUCCGGCCGAUUCUCUGGCCGAAGUUCGGUCUCUCCCUCUCGGAUUCUCCUCUUUUUCCUCUCUUCUCCCUCGGUUUUGACAGGUUUGUAAGACUGGUUCAACAAACAAAUGUCAUGAAUGUUUACAGCAGAAGACUACAGAUUCAGAAUAUAUUAAAAAAGUGCAGUGCUAAAAAAUCUAAGGAGGAGGCACGUGCUACACGUGUAGAGUUGCAGGAGACGAUUUCAAAAAUGCAAGCCGACUAUGACAACAAGUUGGAAAAUUUACGAGCCAACUACGACGACAAGUUGGAAAAUUUAUAACAACAGAUGGCUAUGCUAAUGCAGAUGCAACAACAAAAUUAUAGUGGACAGGAUUCUGAUUCUUUAAAUGCUCCUUCUAGAGUAUUCCCAAAUCCAUUUUCUAGUCGUGAUGCCAAUUCAGUUAAGGUUAUGAACUUUUAAUUUCUCUUAUAUAUAUAUGUUAAAUUUUCAUUUAUUAUAAUGUGCGCUUAAUGAAUUUAUAAAAAAUGUAAGGUAAUUCAAAUCAAAUGGGCAAGAAGAUUUGUUGAAGUUGAAGUUGAAGAUGGGGUCGUGGCUGUGCUUUUUGAAUUUCCUUCGCCUUGGAUGGGUUCUUUUUGAAAAAGUUGUACUACAUUUGUUAAAAAUUCUUAAUUCUUUUUGUGUGACAUUUAGUACCCUUAUCUAGACAAUUUGGAUGGUAUUUUCAUAUUGGCA
Cornus florida is the source of this 1049-nucleotide long non-coding RNA. RefSeq lists it as uncharacterized. NCBI's taxonomy places the organism in Eukaryota, Viridiplantae, Streptophyta, Magnoliopsida, Cornales, Cornaceae. The transcript is spliced from 4 exons. The record is from RefSeq and is a predicted model, not a curated record.